GACGAACGCUGGCGGCGUGCUUAACACAUGCAAGUCGAACGGUGAAGCGCCUUCCUUUUUGGUGGGUGUGGAUGAGUGGCGAACGGGUGAGUAACACGUGAGUAACCUGCCCCCUUCUUCUGGAUAACCGCAUGAAAGUGUGGCUAAUACGGGAUAUUCUGGGUCUGUCGCAUGAUGGGUCUGGGAAAGAUAUUGUUUCGGUGGGGGAUGGGCUCGCGGCCUACCAGCUUGUUGGUGGGGUGAUGGCCUACCAAGGCGGUGACGGCUAGCCGGCCUGGGAGGGUUGACGGUCACACUGGGGCUGAGACACGGCCCAGACUCCUACGGGAGGCAGCAGUGGGGAAUAUUGCACAAUGGGCGCAAGCCUGAUGCAGCGACGCCGCGUGAGGGAUGGAGGCCUUCGGGUUGUGAACCUCUUUCGCCAGUGAAGCAGGCCUGCCUCGUUUGUGGGUGGGUUGACGGUAGCUGGAGAAGAAGCGCCGGCUAACUACGUG
RNAcentral lists this ribosomal RNA (494 nucleotides) under uncultured bacterium. Its description in RNAcentral is "partial 16S ribosomal RNA". It matches the Rfam family "Bacterial small subunit ribosomal RNA", at positions 28 to 507 of the family's 1533-position model. The record is from RNAcentral.